This is a long non-coding RNA of Chelonia mydas (Green sea turtle), 4556 nucleotides long. RefSeq lists it as uncharacterized. The record is from RefSeq and is a predicted model, not a curated record. The transcript has 3 exons. NCBI's taxonomy places the organism in Eukaryota, Metazoa, Chordata, Testudines, Cheloniidae.
AGAGAGCGUGAUGGAAGGCAGUAGUAGGCACAAUGGGCUCCUGCACCUGUGCCCUUCCCCAGAAGUAAGUGGGGAAGCUGGCUACUGAUUGUCAAUAUAAUAAAAGCAUGGUGGUGGAUAAGUGUGGUUGUGGUCAGUGGCUGAGGUUGCAGAGGACUCUCAGGGGACCACCCCAUGACAGGCAUCUAAUGAACAUCAGGCAUCACCUGAAGUGCAUCAAUAUCUAAUAUCAUGGUUGAGUUAAGCAAAAAGAUAUUGUAGAUCCAUAUUCCCAUGGCUUCCUGAGUGCUUGUGAAGGGGAAGAACCACCUGGAAAGGUGUCCAAGGAAGGCAUUUAUGACCACUGGGAGUUCCACUUGAUAAUAACCCAUAAAAAUACAUUGCAACCAUUGUCACAACUAGUAACAGUUUCCAAUAUUUGGACAUAAUAUAAGUUACUGUUGACUGCUAGAUGAUGCAUACAGAUGAUUGCUGCAUGUUAGUGUCCGAUGCUAAAAAGAGUGACAACUCUUUAAGUCUUCAGUCUUAGUAUUUUGGCUGUGUAUCUUCAGCUACUAGUAAUCACGUACAAAGUUGGUGAAUGCCAUGCUUAUUUGUUCUCAGCUCUUCAUAUCUUUCCAGAAUCCACUUCUAGACUUCAGUCUGUCAGAUGACUAAUAUAUUAAUCAGUUAAGCCUGUGUCUAUAAGCCACUUUGGUAUUACAAAUGUAAGUUCAACAUCCACACAACUACUUUUUUCCCAUGCUACUAUUUGGUUAGGGGCACAAUUGGAAAAAAAACACUGUUCGUGUCUACACAGCAAAUGUUUAGCCAUUAGUUAAUAACUAGCUAAUUUUGACCAUGCACAGUCCCUGCCAGUGGGCUAAUCCGGCACACACUUUAGUAGCUGUAAGUAGUUAGGUACAUGGCUCUUUUUAGAAUGGGUUGAAAAUUUUCCGACAGACUAGUAAACGAUCAGGAAAUGCCGAUUUGCUGAAAUUGAAACGUUUUGUGGGAACAUGCCAACUUUGUCAAAAUUUCCAACAAAAAAAACUAUCAAAAGAUUUCAUUUCAAUAAGGCUGAAGUGCUUUGUUUCAAAAUUAUAUUAUAAAAGGCAAAAGUGAGGGCUUCAGCCUUAUUGAAACAAAACACUUAGAUAAGGUCACUCCAAUAUUUCCAAAAAAAUUUUUUUUUCAGAAUUUUCAUUUCACGGGAUAUUUUGCCUUUUCAGUCUAAUUUGGGGCAAAAGUAGAAUUUUGAAAUGUUGGAAAUUUUUGCAGAGUGAAAUGCUAAGUUUUGACCAGCUCUAGUUACAUUGUUGUAUCGAUGGUCGCCUCUAAUGGGGCCACUGUAGCUGUCAAACCAGGUUCUCCUACCUCCCAUAACUCUCAGCAGUUAGCUAUCGCAAGGUGUACUUUCCCACAUGUUCAGGGUGUUACUCUGUAUACCUGACCUCUGGUAACUCUGUACCAUGCAUCAGGACUUAUCUGAAUAUGUCACUCAUAAGCCAUAACCAGGCUGAAAAUGCUCUGCAUUUGUUUUACCAGUCAUACAACUCACUCCUCUUUGGGACAAUACCCCACACAUCCCUGCCUUUUAAGUAAGUAGGGUCCCCAGAAAUCACAGUUGGCACAGAAGAACCAUUAACGUCCCUGUUGUGGCACAGGAAAUGGUUGCUGAGGCACUUGGAGGUAGCUGCCCAGAAUGCUGGAUGGGGAUGUGAAAGUAUGGUUCUGACCACAAAUGUCACCAUGUGGACACAAGCUAAUUUUUGUAACUUCUAACCUAAGUUGAUUGUGCUUUCAAUAGGUUACAUAAUCACAGUUAUAGCUGCCGUAUGGAUGGGGCCUAACAAUUGCUGCUUUUAGCACAAAACAGCUUUUGGCCUUUGUUAAAGACUUAUUGACCGUUGUGAUUAUUAUCUAGCAUUUUAUGUUUGAAUGGAAAGCAUAACUUGCAGUACCAAAGAGCAACACUUCUUGAUCCUUUGUACUGGGUCAUUUGAGCAAGCUGCCAUCAUCUAUAAUACAUAGCUUCCCCAACGAUGUUCUUUUUCUUGUAAUGCUGCUUAAGAUUCUGGCAUAUUCCCUUGUCUAUUUGUUGGAUUAAAUAUGUGGCCUUAAGCAAUGGAGAGAAAAAGGUGACACAUUUCUCAAGGAAACUUUAAAAUGUGCUGCACACUUAUCCAGAAUCAGUAAAAUUUCUUUUUCCUUAACUAUGACACUUGUCAUCAAUCUUAUGCAGCUAGUCAAGUGAAAAUCUACAUUGUCAUCCAUGUAUAAUAUGAUAGUCACUGCCUAGCAGCAGCAAAUUUUUAAAUUCAGCUAACUGAAGCCUAGGGCAUCUUAAUUUCACUGAUAGAUGCUUCCUUUUUGCCAUUGCUAUCAUGUUGGCUAGCAUAAGAGGAAAAAAAAUCUCUCCUCUGAAUUUGUUUCCUCUUCUGCUGCUGCAUCAGUUUUGAAAAGGAAACAAUUAACGAAUAGCCUGAUACCACUGCAGUUGUAGAUUUCUUCAACAGAUUUGCACAAACAUCCAGGGUUGACAAUUUUGGUCGGAGAUCUAUCUGGAGGUUUCAGUCACAUGACAUAAUCUUUAAUUAAUCUUUAAUUCCUGGAGACUCCACAACAAUCCUGGAGGGUUGGCAACCAUGGCUCAGUUCCUAGUUAGAUGCUUAAAGGGAUGUGGCCUGACUUUCAGUGGUGCUAAGCACCUGUAGUUCUCAUUUGCAUGAAUGGGAGCUGGGGUUGCUCAGCAUCUUUGAAAACUCAGACUCUUUCUCUAAACAAAAGUUUUUUUUCUGUCUUUUUUUCUCCUUCCUUUCCUUUUGUGGCCAAGCAAUCUUACCACUGCCAUGCAAACAGCAGUUACUGUGCUCUGUGGCUUGUUAGUGUUCUGCCAUAAUUAUUGAAGAGCAUCAAUGAUCUUGACUUUCCAGUCUUGCAAAAUAAUAGCUUUCUCUCUCCUGUCAUUUAUUCGCCCACUCAUCUGAAAUUCCAGAGAACAAAGCUUGUGGCAUAACAUAUCUCUGUGAAAAAAACUGAUCAUAUUUCUGCCUUGCAGGCAGGGCUUACAAAACAACAUAUAUUUCAACAACAAUGCAGAUCAUUUCAAUAGCUGUAACUGUAGGUAAAAUGUCUUCAAUAAUACAACUAAUUUCGUACUUUAUUGUACUUUAACUGUCAUACCUAUACUUGAAUGACAAUAGCCCUGCUGAGCAGCAAUUGGUACAAGUCAGCUUACUGUGCUACUCUUUUUAAUGUCAGGUACAUUACGAAAGAGUUUUUAUUCUUGUCGAUGAAUAUUUUCACUCUGUUCUAAAACAUGGUCUGGUGGGUUUUUCAUAAUAAAGAGUGAUAACCUUCAUAGAUUGAGUAGGAGCCAUAUGAGGAGCCUGAUUCUCUUUUCACAUUGGUGUAAAAUCUGGGAUCACUCCACAGAAGUCAAUAAAUUUACAAGGGUGUCAGCAAGAAAAGAAUCAGACCCUGUGAUUUUUUACUAUGGAUUUGUUGUGUGUAAAUGAGGAAUUAUCUGAACUGAGCUACUAUUUUACACAAACCACAAUAAAGAAUAGGGUAUUAUUGUCAACAAAACCCACUUGUGUGAAAUAAAUGUAAUAUUGUCAGUAAAACAGCGAGAGUGAAACUAACUGCACUGGCAGAUAACUCGUAUUUUCUGAAAAUAUUAGUUACAAUUAAUCAAAUUAUAAGCUGAAGUAGUACAUGGUAUAUGUUGCACUAAGAAGAAGAUGGAAUAGAAAUUGUCUGCAGAUCCUUCUUUUCGCUAUUUUUUAUGUUUCUAUGAGUUAGUGGAGGUGGCAGUGAGGGAAAUGAAGACUUUAAGAAUUAAUAUUAUAAAGUGAUAGUUUUAUUACAGUGUCUAAUUUAGUGCAAACUAAACAGGCGAUAUUUUACUGACUGUGUGUUGGGUUGUGGUUUUGUUUUGUUUGGUUUUUUAAAUCUGACACUUAAUGUUGAUAGAUUUGAAGGAGAGGAUAGAUGAAGAAGAAUAAUCGCUUCUUUGGGACCCAAUCUUGCAUGGUGCUGACAGCCUCCUGUGUGGUGUUAGCACCCUCCAUUCUCAUUAACUUCACCUCUCAGCACCUUCAGUGCUAAGUUCAGUAUUCUCAUUGACUUUAUUGAUCAGCACCUGGCAGGAUCAGUCCCAGAUUCAGGCUGUCUGUACUUCUCCUUCAUCCCAAUGUUCCCAUUCUUCUCUUUCUUGUCUUUGAGAUCCCAUGUCCUGGCCACUAGUCUCCUGGAUGAACAGGAGAAGCUCUUUAGUUGGCUAGAGAUAUAUCUCUUCAGUGACACAAGGUGUUUCUUCCUUCCUCAGAGGAACAGAGACAAGAAUUUAAACUGAGCUCUGCUGCAUCCCACUGCCUCUUGUAAAAUGUUGGGGGACAUCAGGAAGAAGGGAAGAUACCUGAUGUCAGAGACUGGAUGUGUUACAUACGUUUUGUCAAAGAGUCACUGAAAGACCAGAGAAGCUGAGAGGAUGGGCACUUGGAAAAUAUAAGCUAUAGCUUAUUCCUUGUAUCUGCAUGAAUGGUGCUUCUCUGGGUUAUCUCUGGCAGAGU